Molecule: long non-coding RNA, 325 nt
Organism: Mus pahari (shrew mouse)
Lineage: Eukaryota; Metazoa; Chordata; Mammalia; Rodentia; Muridae
Exons: 3
Source: RefSeq, a predicted model, not a curated record
AUUCUCCUGCCUCUGUCCACACUCUCCAAAUACUGACAUUAAAGGUGUGUGGCUCCACAUCUGGCCUCAAACUGUUAUGGCUGCUGGAGGCACUCCGUGGUGAUUUCAGAAGAUCUCUCCUCUAAACGUUCCGGUCCCGAAAUAAGGAGCAGAAUCAACAAUGUGUCACUUCUGUGUGGGAGCAGGCUCAACAAGCGCUUCAGCCACAUAGAGCAACAAUUGCCGGUUUCUUACUGUUUUCUGAAUGGGUUGGGUGGAGGCCAUCUAUGUGGAUGCUUCUAUCCUGAGAGCACAAAGCUGCGAAUGUUAAGCAUUGUCAACAGAG